AUUGAACGCUGGCGGCAUGCCUUACACAUGCAAGUCGAACGGUAACGGGCCUUCGGGUGCCGACGAGUGGCGAGCGGGUGAGUAAUACAUCGGAACGUGCCCGAUCGUGGGGGAUAACGAGGCGAAAGCUUUGCUAAUACCGCAUACGAUCUACGGAUGAAAGCAGGGGACCGCAAGGCCUUGCGCGGACGGAGCGGCCGAUGGCAGAUUAGGUAGUUGGUGGGAUAAAAGCUUACCAAGCCGACGAUCUGUAGCUGGUCUGAGAGGAUGAUCAGCCACACUGGGACUGAGACACGGACCAGACUCCUACGGGAGGCAGCAGUGGGGAAUUUUGGACAAUGGGCGCAAGCCUGAUCCAGCCAUGCCGCGUGCAGGAUGAAGGCCUUCGGGUUGUAAACUGCUUUUGUACGGAACGAAAAGCCUUCUUUUAAUACAGGAGGGUCAUGACGGUACCGGAAGAAUAAGCACCGGCUAACUACGUG
Molecule: ribosomal RNA, 482 nt
Filed under: uncultured bacterium
Lineage: Bacteria
Description: partial 16S ribosomal RNA
Rfam family: Bacterial small subunit ribosomal RNA
Source: RNAcentral